RNAcentral lists this ribosomal RNA (1381 nucleotides) under uncultured bacterium. RNAcentral describes it as "bacterial SSU rRNA". It matches the Rfam family "Bacterial small subunit ribosomal RNA", at positions 28 to 1381 of the family's 1533-position model. The record is from RNAcentral.
GACGAACGCUGGCGGCGUGCCUAAUACAUGCAAGUCGAGCGGACCGAACGAGAGCUUGCUCUUGUUUGGUCAGCGGCGGACGGGUGAGUAACACGUGGGCAACCUGCCCGCAAGACCGGGAUAACUCCGGGAAACCGGAGCUAAUACCGGAUAACACCAAAGACCGCAUGGUCUUUGGUUGAAAGGCGGCUUCGGCUGCCACUUGCGGAUGGGCCCGCGGCGCAUUAGCUAGUUGGUGAGGUAACGGCUCACCAAGGCGACGAUGCGUAGCCGGCCUGAGAGGGUGACCGGCCACGCUGGGACUGAGACACGGCCCAGACUCCUACGGGAGGCAGCAGUAGGGAAUCUUCCGCAAUGGACGAAAGUCUGACGGAGCGACGCCGCGUGAGCGAAGAAGGCCUUCGGGUCGUAAAGCUCUGUUGUGAGGGACGAAGGAGCGCCGUUUGAAUAAGGCGGCGCGGUGACGGUACCUCACGAGAAAGCCCCGGCUAACUACGUGCCAGCAGCCGCGGUAAUACGUAGGGGGCGAGCGUUGUCCGGAAUUAUUGGGCGUAAAGCGCGCGCAGGCGGUUCCUUUAAGUCUGAUGGGAAGCCCCACGGCUCAACCGGUGGAGGGGUCAUUGGAAAACUGGGGACUUUGAGUGCAGGAGAGGAGAGCGGGAAUUCCACGUGUAGCGGUGAAAUGCGUAGAGAUGUGAAGGAACACCAGUGCGAAAGGCGGCUCUCUGGCCUGUAACUGACGUUGAGGCGCGAAAGCGUGAAGAGCAAACAGGAUUAGAUACCCUGGUAGUCCACGCCGUAAACGAUGAGUGCUAAGUGUUAGAGGGGUCACACCCUUUAGUGCUGUAGCUAACGCGAUAAGCACUCCGCCUGGGGAGUACGGCCGCAAGGCUGAAACUCAAAGGAAUUGACGGGGGCCCGCACAAGCGGUGGAGCAUGUGGUUUAAUUCGAAGCAACGCGAAGAACCUUACCAGGUCUUGACAUCCCCUGACAACCCAAGAGAUUGGGCGUUCCCCCUUCGGGGGGACAGGGUGACAGGUGGUGCAUGGUUGUCGUCAGCUCGUGUCGUGAGAUGUUGGGUUAAGUCCCGCAACGAGCGCAACCCUUGCCUCUAGUUGCCAGCAUUCAGUUGGGCACUCUAGAGGGACUGCCGGCUAAAAGUCGGAGGAAGGUGGGGAUGACGUCAAAUCAUCAUGCCCCUUAUGACCUGGGCUACACACGUGCUACAAUGGGCGGUACAAAGGGCUGCGAACCCGCGAGGGGGAGCGAAUCCCAAAAAGCCGCUCUCAGUUCGGAUUGCAGCUUGCAACUCGCCUGCAUGAAGCCGGAAUCGCUAGUAAUCGCGGAUCAGCAUGCCGCGGUGAAUACAGGCCCGGGCCG